This 348-nucleotide ribosomal RNA is filed under the name uncultured bacterium. RNAcentral describes it as "bacterial SSU rRNA". It matches the Rfam family "Bacterial small subunit ribosomal RNA", at positions 160 to 507 of the family's 1533-position model. The record is from RNAcentral.
GGAUUAAUACCUCAUAGUAUGUGAGAAUGGCAUCAUUUCACAUUAAAGUCACAACGGCAAAAGAUGAGCAUGCGUCCCAUUAGCUUGUUGGUAAGGUAACGGCUUACCAAGGCAACGAUGGGUAGGGGUCCUGAGAGGGAGAUCCCCCACACUGGUACUGAGACACGGACCAGACUCCUACGGGAGGCAGCAGUGAGGAAUAUUGGACAAUGGGCGCAAGCCUGAUCCAGCCAUGCCGCGUGCAGGAUGACGGUCCUAUGGAUUGUAAACUGCUUUUGUACAGGAAGAAACACUGGUUCGUGAACCAGCUUGACGGUACUGUAAGAAUAAGGAUCGGCUAACUCCGUG